Melanotaenia boesemani (Boeseman's rainbowfish) is the source of this 220-nucleotide long non-coding RNA. RefSeq lists it as uncharacterized. The transcript has 3 exons. The record is from RefSeq and is a predicted model, not a curated record. Lineage: Eukaryota; Metazoa; Chordata; Actinopteri; Atheriniformes; Melanotaeniidae.
UGAUGGGAGUCGAACACUAUAACCAGCCAGAGGUUAUAAACAAAGUCACUGACUACUCCAACUAUGUGUUCAUGAUCAUCAUGAUCACUGAGGUUCUACUGAAACUUGUGGUGUAGUGAAGUUCAUAAAAGACUGCUGGAACCUCCUGGACAUCGUCAUCAUCUUGCUUUCUGUCAUCAGCAUUGUUCUCACCCAGUUAAGGAUGGCAAAAGUCAUUCCU